RNAcentral lists this ribosomal RNA (271 nucleotides) under uncultured soil bacterium. Its description in RNAcentral is "partial 16S ribosomal RNA". It matches the Rfam family "Bacterial small subunit ribosomal RNA", at positions 26 to 285 of the family's 1533-position model. The record is from RNAcentral.
AGAAUCAACGCUGGCGGCGUGCCUAACACAUGCAAGUCGAACGCGAAAACCCCGCAAGGGGUUAGUAGAGUGGCAAACGGGUGAGUAACGCGUGGGUGACCUACCUCAGAGUGGGGGAUAACCUUCCGAAAGGAGGGCUAAUACCGCAUGACAUACCGUGGUUGGAUACACGGAUAUCAAAGCCGGGGAUCGCAAGACCUGGCGCUUGGAGAGGGCCCGCGUCCGAUUAGCUAGUUGGUGAGGUCACGGCUCACCAAGGCGACGAUCGGUA